CCUACGGGUGGCAGCAGUGAGGAAUAUUGGUCAAUGGACGGAAGUCUGAACCAGCCAUGCCGCGUGCAGGAAGACGGCUCUACGAGUUGUAAACUGCUUUUGUACAAGGGUAAACCUGAAUACGUGUAUUUAGUUGAAUGUACUGUACGAAUAAGGAUCGGCUAACUCCGUGCCAGCAGCCGCGGUAAUACGGAGGAUCCAAGCGUUAUCCGGAUUUAUUGGGUUUAAAGGGUGCGUAGGUGGAUUGAUAAGUUAGUGGUGAAAUGUCCGGGCUUAACGCGGAAAUUGCAUUUAAUACUGGUAGUCUAGAGAGUAGAUGCGGUAGGCGGAAUGUAUGGUGUAGCGGUGAAAUGCUUAGAGAUCAUAAAGAACACCGAUUGCGAAGGCAGCUUACCAAUCUAUAUCUGACGUUGAGGCACGAAAGCGUGGGGAGCAAACAGGAUUAGAUACCCUAGUAGUC
Molecule: ribosomal RNA, 460 nt
Filed under: uncultured bacterium
Lineage: Bacteria
Description: partial 16S ribosomal RNA
Rfam family: Bacterial small subunit ribosomal RNA
Source: RNAcentral